RNAcentral lists this ribosomal RNA (455 nucleotides) under uncultured bacterium. RNAcentral describes it as "bacterial SSU rRNA". It matches the Rfam family "Bacterial small subunit ribosomal RNA", at positions 335 to 800 of the family's 1533-position model. The record is from RNAcentral.
ACUCCUACGGGAGGCAGCAGUGGGGAAUAUUGCACAAUGGGCGCAAGCCUGAUGCAGCAACGCCGCGUGCGGGAUGACGGCCUUCGGGUUGUAAACCGCUUUCAGCAGGGACGAAGCUUUUUGUGACGGUACCUGCAGAAGAAGCACCGGCUAACUACGUGCCAGCAGCCGCGGUGAUACGUAGGGUGCGAGCGUUGUCCGGAUUUAUUGGGCGUAAAGGGCUCGUAGGCGGUUGAUCGCGUCGGAAGUGGAAACUUGAUGCUUAACGUUGAGCGUGCUUUCGAUACGGGUUGACUUGAGGAAGGUAGGGGAGAAUGGAAUUCCUGGUGGAGCGGUGGAAUGCGCAGAUAUCAGGAGGAACACCAGUGGCGAAGGCGGUUCUCUGGACCUUUCCUGACGCUGAGGAGCGAAAGCGUGGGGAGCGAACAGGCUUAGAUACCCUGGUAGGAUAGCGU